CGAGAAUUUUUCACAAUGGGCGCAAGCCUGAUGGAGCGACGCCGCGUGGGGGAUGAAUGGCUUCGGCCCGUAAACCCCUGUCAUUUGCGAUCAAACCUUGCUAUUUAAAAGAUGGCGAGCUGAUAGUAGCGAAAGAGGAAGGGACGGCUAACUCUGUGCCAGCAGCCGCGGUAAUACAGAGGUCCCAAGCGUUGUUCGGAUUCACUGGGCGUAAAGGGUGCGUAGGUGGUGGGGUAAGUCGGAUGGGAAAUCUCGGAGCUCAACUCCGAAAUGGCAUUGGAAACGACCCUGCUAGAGGGUCGGAGGGGGGACUGGAAUUCUCGGUGUAGCAGUGAAAUGCGUAGAUACCGAGAGGAACACCAGUGGCGAAGGCGAGUCCCUGGACGACUCCUGACACUGAGGCACGAAAGCUAGGGGAGCAAACA
RNAcentral lists this ribosomal RNA (425 nucleotides) under uncultured bacterium. Its description in RNAcentral is "bacterial SSU rRNA". It matches the Rfam family "Bacterial small subunit ribosomal RNA", at positions 356 to 774 of the family's 1533-position model. The record is from RNAcentral.